RNAcentral lists this ribosomal RNA (253 nucleotides) under uncultured bacterium. RNAcentral's name for it is "partial 16S ribosomal RNA". It matches the Rfam family "Bacterial small subunit ribosomal RNA", at positions 524 to 776 of the family's 1533-position model. The record is from RNAcentral.
UACGUAGGCAGCGAGCGUUGUUCGGAGUUACUGGGCGUAAAGAGCUCGUAGGCGGCUUGUCGCGUCGUCCGUGAAAACCCACAGCUCAACUGUGGGCUUGCGGUCGAUACGGGCAGGCUAGAGUUCGGUAGGGGAGACUGGAAUUCCUGGUGUAGCGGUGAAAUGCGCAGAUAUCAGGAGGAACACCGGUGGCGAAGGCGGGUCUCUGGGCCGAUACUGACGCUGAGGAGCGAAAGCGUGGGGAGCGAACAGG